Molecule: ribosomal RNA, 795 nt
Filed under: Triticum aestivum (bread wheat)
Lineage: Eukaryota; Viridiplantae; Streptophyta; Magnoliopsida; Poales; Poaceae
Description: partial small subunit ribosomal RNA
Source: RNAcentral
GUCUCGGUACCGACGGUGUUUAGAUAACGCAAUGAAGGUGGCCGGAGGAGGAGAUGGGUCGAGGAGCGUCGACUGGGUGGCCGUUUCGAGCGACGUCGCACGAAGGCAACCCCGGAGGAGGAGAUGGGUCGAGGAGGAAACGACUGGGUGGCCGUUCCGACCUACGCCCCGCGACGGCCACGAACCACAACCAGCAAAUCCACCACGUGCCAUCCUCGCCCCUCUGAUACACGACGCGCGCCGGCCCUGCCGCGACGGCGUACGGACGUCUUAGCGCUCGCUGCCCCUCGCGAUUCUAUCCGAGCUGCUUCUAAUCGACGCCCGCCCCCACCGGCCGUUCGUGCCCGCCGCGCCCCCACCGGCCGUUCGUACCCGCGCUCGCGCCCCCACCGGCCGCUUGUGCCCGUGCUCGUGCCUGCCGCGCUCACACCGGCCGCUCGUACCCGCGCUCGUGCCUGCCGCGCUCCCAUCCGCUCGUGUCCGCGCCUACGCCUGCCGCGCUCCUACCGGCCCCUCGUGCCCAGGCUGGUGCCCGCCGCGUCCCACCUGCCGUUCGUACCUAACGCGCUCUGUCCGCCGCUCGUACCUCUAGAAGGAAAAAAGAAAAAAGAAGUGCGCACACACUUUCCCUCUUCAGCUGAGUUAGCGCGAUAGGUCUGGCAAAUAAACAUGCCCUAGGUUGCGGACCGUCGCCUGGCCGGCUUUGAAGCCGGCCACGCGGCCGCGGAUCGCAGCGGGAAAUUUUAAACACAAGUACGAAAAUCUUUUUUUAAGUUAAAAAAAUUUUUUACAGGU